This is a long non-coding RNA of Quercus robur (English oak), 289 nucleotides long. RefSeq lists it as uncharacterized. The record is from RefSeq and is a predicted model, not a curated record. Lineage: Eukaryota; Viridiplantae; Streptophyta; Magnoliopsida; Fagales; Fagaceae. The transcript has 3 exons.
CAGAUUUCUUAAAGGGCAAGAUCUUGCUGGUAUACUUCCACCAUCUUUGGUUAAGCUACCCAACCUUAAGGAAAUUGAUUUGAAUAGAAACUACCUUAGUGGAAUGAUACCACGAGAAUGAGCUUCAAUGAAGUUGGAAUUUCUGUCCAUCAGUACGAACAACUUAUCAGGAUGUAUUGACUACUUGGCAAACAUUACCACUCUGAGAGCUCUAUCUGUUCUGGAUCUCUAUGUUAAAUAAUUUCAACAAAUCGUUUGGUUAAGCUCUGCUGUCUGUAAUCUUGGACUG